RNAcentral lists this long non-coding RNA (1111 nucleotides) under Elaeis guineensis (African oil palm). RNAcentral's name for it is "long non-coding RNA (EGUI_LNC021731)". Lineage: Eukaryota; Viridiplantae; Streptophyta; Magnoliopsida; Arecales; Arecaceae. The record is from RNAcentral.
ACCUUAACUGCUUCUUGCUUUCCCACGACAGUAUUGUUGUUAUCAGAGGAACUAAAGACCGUACCAACGUCUGUAGGAAUAUUUUCUUUUGUUUGUGCUUCAUUUUUCAUCCGUUUACCAUCAAAACCCUUUCUGAACCAAGGAUUCUCCAUGAUUUUGGUGAUUGAUAUCCUGGUAAUCGGAUUUGGGUCUAGGAUCUUAUAUAGCAGCUUUCGAACAUCAGAGGAGAACCAAGAGGGGCAUUUAAAUUCACCCUUUCCAAUCUUCCUGUACAUCUCCAUCAGAUUUGAAUCAUGGAAAGGAAGAUAACCAGCCAAGAGCACAAACAAAAUCACCCCACAGGACCAGAUAUCAGCUUUUGCCCCAUCAUAUCCUUUUCUGUUGAUCACCUCAAAAGCGACAUAAGCUGGAGUCCCACAAGUAGUGUGGAGUAAGCCAUCCUGCCUCUUAGACUCAGCAAGGGCGCUCAACCCAAAAUCUGAGACUUUUAAACAGCCAUUUUCAUCCAACAGCACAUUUUCAAGCUUCAGAUCACGAUGGUAUAUGCCUCUGCUGUGGCAAUAGUCUACAGCACUGAUCAGCUGUUGGAAGUAUUUUCGUGCGAUAUCCUCCUUGAGCUUGCCUUUGGCAACCUUGUUAAAAAGCUCACCACCUUUAACAUACUCCAUGACAAAGUAAAUCUUGGUCUUGCUUGCCAUGACCUCAUAAAGCUGCACAAUAUUUGGAUGUCUCACCAAUUUCAUUAUUGAGAUCUCUCUUUUGAUCUGAUCUACAAGUCCAACCCUCAUGACCUUCUCUUUGUCGAAAAUCUUUAUAGCAACACUCUGGCCAGUUUUAAGAUUUCUAGCAUAGUGUACCUUUGCAAAGGUUCCUUGUCCUAGUAAUCUCCCCAACUCAAACCUUUGCAUCAAAACAUUCCCUCUAUGUUCCAUUCCUUUUUAUUUUAUCUUGAGAAAAUAAAUGCUACACUAUCCUGCUGUUACAAUGUAUACUGUUUACAAGACUCUAACAGCAGAAGAAUUCAACCGUCGUCACGAAGGUCAUGAUCCAGUGCAACAGGCUUUAUAAUUCUCUUAGUUCCAUUGUGCACUAGCAGAUGGAGCACAAACUG